ACGAACGCUGGCGGCGUGCUUAACACAUGCAAGUCGAGCGGUAAGGCCCUUUCGGGGGUACACGAGCGGCGAACGGGUGAGUAACACGUGAGUAAUCUGCCCUUCACUUGGGGAUAAGCACCGGAAACGGUGUCUAAUACCCGAUACGACACUCUCCUGCAUGGGAUGGGUGUGGAAAGUUUUUUCGGUGGGGGAUGUGCUCGCGGCCUAUCAGCUUGUUGGUGGGGUAAUGGCCUACCAAGGCUUCGACGGGUAGCCG
RNAcentral lists this ribosomal RNA (259 nucleotides) under Nocardioides sp. ISO185_OTU515. Its description in RNAcentral is "partial 16S ribosomal RNA". It matches the Rfam family "Bacterial small subunit ribosomal RNA", at positions 29 to 289 of the family's 1533-position model. The record is from RNAcentral. Lineage: Bacteria; Bacillati; Actinomycetota; Actinomycetes; Propionibacteriales; Nocardioidaceae.